Molecule: ribosomal RNA, 494 nt
Filed under: uncultured bacterium
Lineage: Bacteria
Description: partial 16S ribosomal RNA
Rfam family: Bacterial small subunit ribosomal RNA
Source: RNAcentral
GACGAACGCUGGCGGCGUGCUUAACACAUGCAAGUCGAACGGUGAAGCGCCUUCCUUUUUGGUGGGUGUGGAUGAGUGGCGAACGGGUGAGUAACACGUGAGUAACCUGCCCCCUUCUUCUGGAUAACCGCAUGAAAGUGUGGCUAAUACGGGAUAUUCUGGGUCUGUCGCAUGAUGGGUCUGGGAAAGAUAUUGUUUCGGUGGGGGAUGGGCUCGCGGCCUUUCAGCUUGUUGGUGGGGUGAUGGCCUACCAAGGCGGUGACGGGUAGCCGGCCUGAGAGGGUGGACGGUCACACUGGGACUGAGACACGGCCCAGACUCCUACGGGAGGCAGCAGUGGGGAAUAUUGCACAAUGGGCGCAAGCCUGAUGCAGCGACGCCGCGUGAGGGAUGGAGGCCUUCGGGUUGUGAACCUCUUUCGCCAGUGAAGCAGGCCUGCCUCGUUUGUGGGUGGGUUGACAGUAGCUGGAUAAGAAGCGCCGGCUAACUACGUG